CAGCACCUCAAGUGGUCAGGAUGAUCAUUGGGCCUAAAGCAUCCGUAGCCGGCUCUGUAAGUUUUCGGUUAAAUCUGUACGCUUAACGUACAGGCCGCCGGGAAUACUGCAGAGCUAGGGAGUGGGAGAGGUAGACGGUACUCGGUAGGAAGGGGUAAAAUCCUUUGAUCUAUUGAUGACCACCUGUGGCGAAGGCGGUCUACCAGAACACGUCCGACGGUGAGGGAUGAAAGCUGGGGGAGCAAACCGGAUUAGAUACCCGUGUAGUCC
Molecule: ribosomal RNA, 270 nt
Filed under: uncultured archaeon
Lineage: Archaea
Description: partial 16S ribosomal RNA
Rfam family: Archaeal small subunit ribosomal RNA
Source: RNAcentral